GCAAAAGUAACAACAACAACAAUAAUAAUAACAUAUGAAGUUCAAACCCUAAGAAAAGUAAAUUAUCAUGAAGCUACAACAACUAACUCUUCCUAUAGCAUAACAAAACGAGUUUUAAGAUAGAAAAUCAAAAGUAAAAUAUAUAGAGUUAAAACCUAGAUAUGUAAUUUUAUCAAACAGAUGGUCUACACGAAAACAUUAAGAAACAAACCAAAUAUUGAUACUGAUUAAGAUGCAGUGUCUAACAAAUAGGAAAGGUAGGAGAAGAAAAAAGGUAGCAGUAAGAGUAAGAGCAGUUACCUUGACUCAAGCAACGACGAUGAUGAUAGUUUCGGAUCUCUUUUACUUAUUGAUUUGUUUCCUUUUCAAGUCCCUUCUUUUCCUACAUAUUCCUUCGUUUCACAACUAAAUGAUUAAACAGAAUCGGCGAGAAGGCACUGAAGAAAGACAUUAUGCGUUCUUGCAGGCUUUGAUGUUUGUGGGCUUCAAUGGGGGUGGUUGAGUUGAGUGAGCCUAGGUUAAAAAUUUCUAUUAUUUUUAUUAACUAAGUAAUCCAAAAUAAUUAUACAAUCCUUCCUUAUUUAUUCCUCCUUCUCAAAAAAAAA
This 605-nucleotide long non-coding RNA is filed under the name Cicer arietinum (chickpea). RNAcentral's name for it is "long non-coding RNA (CARI_LNC002421)". Lineage: Eukaryota; Viridiplantae; Streptophyta; Magnoliopsida; Fabales; Fabaceae. The record is from RNAcentral.